This 216-nucleotide unclassified non-coding RNA is filed under the name uncultured Hydnum. Its description in RNAcentral is "sequence contains ITS2". Lineage: Eukaryota; Fungi; Basidiomycota; Agaricomycetes; Cantharellales; Hydnaceae. The record is from RNAcentral.
AAUUCUCAAGCAGAGAUAGCUUUGUUGCUGUUUUGUUUGGAUUUGGACUUUGCUGUGCCAAUACGGCUGGUCUUAAACGCAUUAGCUGGUCCUUAUAGUUGGGGAUUUGGUUCUACUCAGCGUGAUAAUUAUCUAACGUUGAGGACAGUCUUAGGACUGGCCAGAGCUUAUGUUUGGAUUGCUUCUAAUUGUCCCUUGGACAUACUGUUCAAUUGU